Long non-coding RNA from Nomascus leucogenys (northern white-cheeked gibbon), 828 nucleotides. RefSeq lists it as uncharacterized. NCBI's taxonomy places the organism in Eukaryota, Metazoa, Chordata, Mammalia, Primates, Hylobatidae. The record is from RefSeq and is a predicted model, not a curated record. The transcript is spliced from 3 exons.
AGGGCUGUGUGUUCCGGAAGGCUGAUACCAUGGAGGACAUCACCUUGGCUUCCUGGCUGUCUGGUUAGUGAUUUGAGCAAUGAGAGGCAGCAGCUAGAAAUGAAAGAGUAGAAGAAGAGAGUGUCUCCUGACACUGUGCACGGUCUCCACUCAGCCUCUGAUUCCUGUGAGUCAGCUGCAUCCAGAUUUCCACCCCCUCCCCCGUCCCGAGAAGGCUGCAUUUGACCCACUAAGAACUCCUGAGAAAAAUCUCUUCAGAGGAAUUUUGGCCAAAUCUUCUCUCCCUCUCCUACAGCCACUUUCCUCCUGAAUUUCUUACUUUUCCGGGGCCUGAUUGGUUCAGCACCAAGUGAAGUCAUAGUUACUAUAGUGACUCACAAUUGUCCUCAGAACCUAGUGCCAACAGUCUGCAAGAUUCAAACACUGGCCACCAUCCCUGGCUUCCUUCUGGUUCAAGCCUGAAUAAGGUCUCUCUUCUGUGCUGUCUUCCUGAAGCCAUCUGUGGAGUCAAGCAGUCAUGGCUCAGGGACACUCUGGAGUAGGUCCCAGCACAUCUGCACGGAGCAUCAGGAGGAAAGUGGAUGAAUACUUAAGACCCAGCCUGGCCUCUAAAUCCGUGCUGAGCGUUUUACUCAGUAGACAGCUUGGAAAUCAUAGAAACGAUGUGGAUCUGACAGAAUGGCUGUGGACACUGACGCAAGCCAUACCAGGGAGGACCUGGCCUUUGCCAACACGCCACACAAUCAACCCACCUCUGCCCCCUGGGGAGGAUGGAAAAUCCAAGAAAAUGGAGUGGAUCAAUAAAUCCUUCCCCUGAUGCAACCAUUA